CCCUUUUAUUUCCAGCCCGCCCGGCUCUCCCCGGAAUAUGCAAAGCUGCCAGAUCCGACCUCCUACUUAACCACCGACUCCGGCAUCUCAGCCAAAGGCCCCGCAUCCGGCUCAGGGACUUACCGGGCUGCGCUCCGAUCCCAUCACCAUGCUGGGUCCGCUGGGAAUCUGCGUUUUCCUGCUUGGCCUCUCCGGGGCCCGGGCACAGGUGGUUCUCACCCAGUCCGGCCCGGAGAUUAAGAAACCCGGAGAAUCCACCAAACUGACUUGUACCGUGAGCGGCUUUGAUCUCAGCAGCUAUGGUAUGAGCUGGGUCCGACAGGCUCCGGGAAAGGGGCUGGAGUGGCUGAUCUACUAUUAUUCAUCGUCCAGCAACAGCUACUCCCCGACAAUCCAGGGCCGAUUCACAGCCUCCAAGGACAGCUCCAAUUUCUACCUGCACAUGACGGGCCUGAAAGCGGAGGACACCGCCCGGUAUUACUGCGCGAGAGACACAGCGAGGAGAAGCCGGUCUGAGCUCAGACACAAACCUCGCCGGGUGUGAAUUGGAAAAGAAGCGCCCAGCAGGUGGCGCUCCGGCGCUACACAGCAGGGAGCCCCUGGCCGCAAACACGCUCAGAAGGAGA
Molecule: non-coding RNA, 626 nt
Organism: Mauremys mutica (yellowpond turtle)
Lineage: Eukaryota; Metazoa; Chordata; Testudines; Geoemydidae
Source: the annotation of a RefSeq genome assembly